CACACGACUCUCGGCAACGGAUAUCUCGGCUCUCGCAUCGAUGAAGAACGUAGCGAAAUGCGAUACCUGGUGUGAAUUGCAGAAUCCCGCGAACCAUCGAGUCUUUGAACGCAAGUUGCGCCCCAGGCCACUCGGCCGAGGGCACGCCUGCCUGGGCGUCACGC
This 164-nucleotide ribosomal RNA is filed under the name Elymus shandongensis. Its description in RNAcentral is "5.8S ribosomal RNA". It matches the Rfam family "5.8S ribosomal RNA". Rfam says of the family: 5.8S ribosomal RNA (5.8S rRNA) is a component of the large subunit of the eukaryotic ribosome. The record is from RNAcentral. Lineage: Eukaryota; Viridiplantae; Streptophyta; Magnoliopsida; Poales; Poaceae.